AACGAACGCUGGCGGCAGGCCUAACACAUGCAAGUCGAGCGCGCCCUUCGGGGUGAGCGGCGGACGGGUGAGUAACGCGUGGGAACGUGCCCUUCUCUGCGGAAUAGCCUCGGGAAACUGAGAGUAAUACCGCAUACGCCCUUUGGGGGAAAGAUUUAUCGGAGAAGGAUCGGCCCGCGUUGGAUUAGGUAGUUGGUGGGGUAAUGGCCCACCAAGCCGACGAUCCAUAGCUGGUUUGAGAGGAUGAUCAGCCACACUGGGACUGAGACACGGCCCAGACUCCUACGGGAGGCAGCAGUGGGGAAUCUUAGACAAUGGGGGCAACCCUGAUCUAGCCAUGCCGCGUGAGCGAUGAAGGCCUUAGGGUUGUAAAGCUCUUUCAGCUGGGAAGAUAAUGACGGUACCAGCAGAAGAAGCCCCGGCUAACUCCGUG
Molecule: ribosomal RNA, 433 nt
Filed under: uncultured bacterium
Lineage: Bacteria
Description: partial 16S ribosomal RNA
Rfam family: Bacterial small subunit ribosomal RNA
Source: RNAcentral